RNAcentral lists this ribosomal RNA (505 nucleotides) under Vibrio sp. HDEP7. Its description in RNAcentral is "bacterial SSU rRNA". It matches the Rfam family "Bacterial small subunit ribosomal RNA", at positions 380 to 877 of the family's 1533-position model. The record is from RNAcentral. Lineage: Bacteria; Pseudomonadati; Pseudomonadota; Gammaproteobacteria; Vibrionales; Vibrionaceae.
AGCCUGAUGCAGCCAUGCCGCGUGUGUGAAGAAGGCCUUCGGGUUGUAAAGCACUUUCAGUCGUGAGGAAGGUGGUGUCGUUAAUAGCGGCAUUAUUUGACGUUAGCGACAGAAGAAGCACCGGCUAACUCCGUGCCAGCAGCCGCGGUAAUACGGAGGGUGCGAGCGUUAAUCGGAAUUACUGGGCGUAAAGCGCAUGCAGGUGGUUAGUUAAGUCAGAUGUGAAAGCCCGGGGCUCAACCUCGGAACUGCAUUUGAAACUGGCUGACUAGAGUACUGUAGAGGGGGGUAGAAUUUCAGGUGUAGCGGUGAAAUGCGUAGAGAUCUGAAGGAAUACCAGUGGCGAAGGCGGCCCCCUGGACAGAUACUGACACUCAGAUGCGAAAGCGUGGGGAGCAAACAGGAUUAGAUACCCUGGUAGUCCACGCCGUAAACGAUGUCUACUUGGAGGUUGUGGCCUUGAGCCGUGGCUUUCGGAGCUAACGCGUUAAGUAGACCGCCUGGG